This is a long non-coding RNA of Pogonomyrmex barbatus (red harvester ant), 285 nucleotides long. NCBI's taxonomy places the organism in Eukaryota, Metazoa, Arthropoda, Insecta, Hymenoptera, Formicidae. The record is from RefSeq and is a predicted model, not a curated record.
UACGGCUUCUGGUGGUUUCGACGAUAUAAAGGAACACGAAGGAUGAGUGAAUGCUGUUUCGAUAGUAAAAUAUUUGACAACCAACACGGAGGUGUUACCCGCGUUGGAAUAAACGCCGAAUACUGCGCGCGCAUUUGUGCCAAAUAUAAGCGUAAACUUCCUUGAAGCAGUUUAGAACGGCGGGAAGGGAUUCGUCGGCCGAUCACACGAGCCUUCCGCGAGUGAGCGAGUGAGGGGAAGACCGGCGAAGUGAGAAAUCUAGGGAAAGCGCAAAAGGGCUGAAAA